AGGGAAUAUUGGGCAAUGGACGAGAGUCUGACCCAGCCAUGCCGCGUGCAGGAAGAAGGCUUUCUGAGUCGUAAACUGCUUUUGACAGGGAAGAAUAAGCGCUACGUGUAGCGUGAUGACGGUACCUGCAGAAUAAGCACCGGCUAACUCCGUGCCAGCAGCCGCGGUAAUACGGAGGGUGCGAGCGUUGUCCGGAUUUAUUGGGUUUAAAGGGUGCGUAGGCGGCCUUUUAAGUCCGGGGUGAAAGCCCGUUGCUCAACAACGGAACUGCCCUGGAUACUGGAAGGCUUGAGUACAGACGAGGUUGGCGGAAUGGACUGAGUAGCGGUGAAAUGCAUAGAUACAGUCCAGAACCCCGAUUGCGAAGGCAGCUGACUAGGCUGUUACUGACGCUGAGGCACGAAAGCGUGGGGAGCGAAC
RNAcentral lists this ribosomal RNA (420 nucleotides) under uncultured bacterium. RNAcentral's name for it is "bacterial SSU rRNA". It matches the Rfam family "Bacterial small subunit ribosomal RNA", at positions 356 to 773 of the family's 1533-position model. The record is from RNAcentral.